Long non-coding RNA from Fukomys damarensis (Damara mole-rat), 3374 nucleotides. RefSeq lists it as uncharacterized. The record is from RefSeq and is a predicted model, not a curated record. Lineage: Eukaryota; Metazoa; Chordata; Mammalia; Rodentia; Bathyergidae. The transcript is spliced from 2 exons.
UGUGGCCAGUCCAGUAGGAGUUAGAAACAGGGAGGGCCGGCUCCUGGGCUUAGUGGUGGGGAGGAAGUGGCCAGUUUAGGGACUCAGGGGAGAGAUGCCGGAGGAGACGUUGUCAGAUAGGGCCAGUGGGGUGGGUUUGCCAGGAGGAGGGAGGCUACGAGGGGAGCUAGAAAUUGGGAGGCCUCGCUGGCAAGGCUGCGCUGAAAGUUCCACAACAACCCAUGGGGAGGGCAGCAUUACUCCAGUCCAGGCUGUCUGCUGCCUGUUGGACAGGAGGACUUGAACUCCAGGAGGAGGCUCUUAUAUGAGCUGAGCUGACCCUAGGGCCAUGAUUUAUGUGCAGAAAGGAAGUCAGGCUGAGGUGGGCAGCUGGAGAGGAGAGGAGGUAGAGACUGGUGGAAUCGGUUGAUACCAUUGUAAUGAAAGUGAAAAGCAGGCAGUGAGUUCAGGGAGGACCAACUUUGAACUUGUCAACACUAGCAGCACCCCCUUUUUUGCAGACAAAGGGGUGUGAACCCACCUGGGGAUGAGGCCUGGUCUUGUGGAAACUGGACUUAGCUUCGCGGGGCAGACAGCUGUGGCCCAGGGUGGUAGGUAAUGUGGACUCAGCCUGGUGGACCCCAGGUCUGGGUGUGAGGCAAGGCCUCAGUCGGAGGUGAGGGGUGGCCUGAGGAGCGACUGCAGAGGCAUGGAGUCAUCCUCACCCGUGGCUGGUGUGGCAUCUUGUUUGCCAGGAGGGGGCUGCUGAGGCAGGAUGCUUGUGUCUGAAGGCAACACUGACGGACCUUUAUUUUCCAGGUGAUAGUGGCCCCCACUGGACUUUACCUAGGUUCCAUGCUAAUCUCUUCUGUGAGCUCACUCUACCCCUCCUCCUCCCUCUAACUCUCUGAGGUUGUCCCUCCACUUAAACCUGUCAUCUGGUGGUAAGCCUGGGGAACUCGCUGGAGCUGCUGUUGGAUUCGGUACCUUUGGUAAUGGUGGAGGAGGAAAGGCCCACGCCCGCUGUGACUCCCGUGUUCAUCAUGGCGAGCAGAUGGCACCAGGAGAAAUGGAGCCCCUGCCAGUAUGAGUCGUAGCAGUACAGGAGGGGAGACCCCUGAAGGAGACAGCCCGAUUAAAUUGAAGUCUGCAGAUUGAAUUCCAGAGGCUUGGGAGUUCUCCAGUGCCAUGUGUCCAGGCCUCGUUCGUGAAGCUCUUUGUUCAGGAGGCCGCCAUUAAAGUUUUAAGAUGAGCUUAUGGGGGGCAGUCCAGAAAUCCAAAGCAGAUGCAUCCGGCUUGAGGGGCCAUCAGCUUUGAAUGAAUUUUCCAGGAGCACCAUCCUCAGGGAACGUGAAUGCCCUCAGGCACCCCCUCGUUUCCUGGGGAUAGAGGUUUUCAGAUGCUGCAACUUCUAAAUUGAGCCUCGAGUCAUUGUAGUUCUGUGCUACGAACCUUGCUUCAAGAAGAUUAAGCUGUAGAACAUUUUAAUGAUGCCACAACGCAGAGAGAUGCCUUGUAGAUGGCGCUUGCAGAUGGAGCCCAGUGACCUCUCACCUACCCUCCUCUGCCUCCCUGCCUGUGCACUGCCUAGAGGAAUUGUUAGUGUAAUGAUAAAACUCUUGGGUGUUGGGGGAAGCUGUUCGAUUGUAAGUGUCUUAGGGGAUAUGUGGGUAUUUACGGUGAGGCAAAUUGGUGUGGGGGUGGUGGGUUAAGUAUUGUGUUGAAUUGAAGCCUGGUUGGAUACAAGUUGAUUGUGCCCAAGCUCUGGGUAUUGGAAGUGGUGUAUCUAGUUUGGACGUUCUGAUGACAUCAGUCACUGAAAAGGGAAUGGGUGGUGGGUGUACCAACAAUAUAUGUGUGCUGGCGAUGAAAUUUAACUGAUGCCUACGAAGCAAGUUCUGCCACCGAGCUAUGCCCCCGGUCCAGAUCUUUGAUUCUUACUCCAUUUAUUUAAACUUGGUUUUUACUUGGCCUUCCAAUGGGGGGGGGUAGUUCCUGAGGUGGGAUGGGGUGGGAGAAAAGGUGGGGGGAUACAGCACGGACGGUGGGAGGUUGGGAAUGUGGCUUGCAAGAGUUGGGGGUGUGGGUGGUAGAGAAUUUAACAGAACUCAGGGGUGAAGAGAAUAAGGGUAAUUGUUAAUGCUGGCUAAAUUGCUUAAAAGCAAUAAAAAUUGCUUAGAACUUGAUCAAUGAAAAAAGCAAAAUUGUUUUGCUUUGUUGAAAAGUGGAGAAAAUUGAAAAGGUUACUAAAACUGAAUAUUUAAUCAUUUGAAAAAUGGUGUCAAACACAUCCAGGUUUUGGUAUGGGGAACAAACUCGGUCCUUGCGCUUGUGAGGUAGGCAGUGGAACCACUGAGCUAAAUCCCCAGCCCCACAUCCAGGUGUUUUAUAUGAAGCUGUAAGGGUGUGUGAUUUCUUUUUUUUCAGGGGUAAUAAAUCUUAGGAAAGACUUAAGUGUCUAAAUUGCAAGCUUUAACGCUUACGUGUGCCCUUGAGAAUAAAUGGGUUAUUCUGGGCUUGUAAUUCAUAUUAGUCACUGAGAUAAUUUGUAAUGGAUAAUUCUGAGCAUAGUGCAAAUGUGAUGCCUUCUAAAAGGGUUUCAUGUUUAAGUUGUGUGUUGUAAGACAUUUUCUGUGAUAGGUCAGUAAUUAUAAAAACUUUGCUCGCUUAGUAUUAUCUUUUCCAGUUUCAGGAAACAAGCUUUAUGGUCACUGAAAUUACUAUGAUAUUUUGUAGCAAACAAUCCAUAUAUCUUGGCCACGGUUACACUGAAUAAUAUAUUGCAUAUUUAGUUUGAAUUUGCUAUUUAAAUGAUCCGGGCUAGAGGGAAAACUCACUCAUUUGGGGACACAGCAAAACUGAGAAGGGGAUACCUUACUAGAUAUGGUCUGUAAAAAUUUAGAGACUGAAAAUCAUUUGCUUUUGACCUGUUUAGUUGGUAAAGUAGUAUCAGUGGCUUUUAAAUGUUUUUCCUUUAAUUUCACCUUUAAAAAGUUUAAACCUCAAUAUUUUUAUGCUUGAGAUAUUUUUGUUUUGGGGUUCCUUUUUAAAAACUCAGAGUAUGUUGCUGUGGUAGUUUAGUUCCUCACCAGUGACUGAGUCACUGUCAGUAGAACUUAAAGUGUAUUAGUCACGCUUGUGUGGGAAAGUACUUCUGGGUAGGAACUUAGUGUAUUCAUCAUGCGUGUGUGGAGAAAUCCUCACUAGUCAUGCUUGUAUGGGGAAAUAUUUUCGGGUAUACUGUUGUGAAAUGAGAGCUGUAAAAGUAGGUGGUUAAAAGUACUUGUUUAUUGCUCUGUAAGGUAAGAAGUCUGCUGUUGCAUCAUGUAUGUAAUUAAUCAUUUUUCCUCCCGUUUACAGCAUAAAUAAAGGUUUGAGUUCUAAGCUGCUUAGAA